Regulatory RNA element from Corynebacterium sp. KPL1989, 118 nucleotides. It matches the Rfam family "L31-Corynebacteriaceae ribosomal protein leader". The record is from Rfam. Lineage: Bacteria; Bacillati; Actinomycetota; Actinomycetes; Mycobacteriales; Corynebacteriaceae.
ACCUGGGUGCGAUCUUCGGUGUUUUGCACUGCGUGGUGUGACUGACCUCUGUCAUGUAGUGGGGAACGUCGCCGUAAGCAGUGGCCCGAAGAACCGGCCCAGUUACAAACCUUAGGGA